Molecule: ribosomal RNA, 460 nt
Filed under: uncultured bacterium
Lineage: Bacteria
Description: partial 16S ribosomal RNA
Rfam family: Bacterial small subunit ribosomal RNA
Source: RNAcentral
CCUACGGGUGGCAGCAGUGAGGAAUAUUGGUCAAUGGACGAGAGUCUGAACCAGCCAAGUAGCGUGAAGGAUGACUGCCCUAUGGGUUGUAAACUUCUUUUAUAUGGGAAUAAAAUGUUCCACGUGUGGGCUUUUGUAUGUACCAUAUGAAUAAGGAUCGGCUAACUCCGUGCCAGCAGCCGCGGUAAUACGGAGGAUCCGAGCGUUAUCCGGAUUUAUUGGGUUUAAAGGGAGCGUAGGUGGAUUGUUAAGUCAGUUGUGAAAGUUUGCGGCUCAACCGUAAAAUUGCAAUUGAUACUGGCAGUCUUGAGUACAGGUGAGGUAGGCGGAAUUCGUGGUGUAGCGGUGAAAUGCUUAGAUAUCACGAAGAACUCCGAUUGCGAAGGCAGCUUACUAGACUGCCACUGACAUUGAUGCUCGAAAGUGUGGGUAUCAAACAGGAUUAGAUACCCCUGUAGUC